GUUAAUCACAAACAUCUAUAACUACCAAACACAGCUUCUGAACAGCAUUGAGUGUUUGUCAUUCUACCCUGAAAUAAUGUGAUUCCAACAGAAGCAAGAUUUCUUCCAGAGCCAGUGUCACCAAAGUAUAUACUUAGAUAUGACAAACCAGGGGUUCCUGCCACAGUUUUGCCACUGUGCCUGCUCCUCAGCCACUUCAUUCCAUGUAGCCAUUUUAACCAGGGCAUCACUGACCAAGGCUUGACAAUUAUGAGAAGAACAGAAGAUCCUGUGAAGCCAUUAUUAGCUCUUGAUUCAAUGGCAACAGCCCUUUUUUUCCAUUUGGACUAACACAGUUGUAAAACCUUGGGCAAGUAGUUCAAUGUGCCUGGACCUCAGUUUCCCUCAACUAUGCAACACAAUUAAUAAAUCCUACCUCUCAAAAGCA
Molecule: long non-coding RNA, 427 nt
Organism: Symphalangus syndactylus (siamang)
Lineage: Eukaryota; Metazoa; Chordata; Mammalia; Primates; Hylobatidae
Source: RefSeq, a predicted model, not a curated record